This 22-nucleotide microRNA is filed under the name Gallus gallus (chicken). Its description in RNAcentral is "gga-miR-6562-3p". The record is from miRBase by way of RNAcentral. Lineage: Eukaryota; Metazoa; Chordata; Aves; Galliformes; Phasianidae.
UCAGUCAUUUCUUGCUCUCUGU